AGUGAACGCUGGCGGCAGGCCUAACACAUGCAAGUCGAACGAGUGGCGGACGGGUGAGCAAUACAUCGGCAUCUACUCUGUCGAGGGGGAUAACGUGGGGAAACCUACGCUAAUACCGCAUACGAUCGUAUGAGCCGAUGUCGGUUUAGCUAGUAGGCGGGGAAAAGGCACACCAAGGCGACGAUCCGUAGCUGGGCUGAGAGGAUGAUCGGCCACACUGGAACUGAGACACGGUCCAGACUCCUACGGGAGGCAGCAGUGGGGAAUAUUGGACAAUGGGCGCAAGCCUGAUCCAGCCAUGCCGCGUGGAUGAAGAAGGCCUUCGGGUUGUAAAGCCCUUUUGUUGGGAAAGCGGUACCCAAAGAAUAAGCACCGGCUAACUUCGUGCCAGCAGCCGCGGUAAUUC
Molecule: ribosomal RNA, 406 nt
Filed under: uncultured bacterium
Lineage: Bacteria
Description: partial 16S ribosomal RNA
Rfam family: Bacterial small subunit ribosomal RNA
Source: RNAcentral